This 640-nucleotide unclassified non-coding RNA is filed under the name uncultured Prochlorococcus sp. RNAcentral's name for it is "partial 16S-23S ribosomal RNA intergenic spacer; may also contain 16S ribosomal RNA and 23S ribosomal RNA". The stretch from base 302 to 374 matches the Rfam family "tRNA". Lineage: Bacteria; Bacillati; Cyanobacteriota; Cyanophyceae; Synechococcales; Prochlorococcaceae. The record is from RNAcentral.
UUGUGGAGGAGGACGCCGAAGGUGGGGCUAAUGACUGGGGUGAAGUCGUAACAAGGUAGCCGUACCGGAAGGUGCGGCUGGAUCACCUCCUAACAGGGAGACAACAAAAUGUUUAAUAUUAAUUUUGUCACCUUAGGUCGAUCGGUAUCUCACGUUCUUAAUUAAUUAAGAAUUUCAUUUUCUAAGUUUUUCUAGGUCACACCCAUUAUUUUCCUGGGCCAUUAGCUCAGGUGGUUAGAGCGCACCCCUAAUAAGGGUGAGGUCCCUGGUUCAAGUCCAGGAUGGCCCAUAUCUCUAUGUUGGGGGUAUAGCUCAGUUGGUAGAGCGCCUGCUUUGCAAGCAGGAUGUCAGCGGUUCGAGUCCGCUUACCUCCACUGAUCACCACCUCUGCCAUAUUAAUAAAGGAAAUAUUUUGAGUUGUGACCCAAUCUGAACGAAUCUAGCUUCCUAAUAAAAAUUAUUAAGAUGCUGGAUUCAUUGAAUUAAUUUCAUUGUUUUCAGAGAACCUUGACAACUGCAUAGAUUAUUUUUAAAGACAAUAAGCAUCUUUAGUGAUGCAGAUUUAUUAUUUGUGCAAAUGCAUUAAUAACAAUUCUAUUAAGCUGAUGCUUCAAUUUUGAAGUUAUUGGUCAAGCUACAA